Molecule: unclassified non-coding RNA, 207 nt
Filed under: soil metagenome
Description: partial contains 5.8S ribosomal RNA, internal transcribed spacer 2, and large subunit ribosomal RNA
Source: RNAcentral
AACCUUAUGGACCUGCGGGCGUAUACCUGCGGAGGGAUCAUUACAGAGAUUGAUGCACCAAGUGCAUCACCUCCAACCCCUUGCGAAAACAACUAUCAUGUGUUGCUUUGGCAGUGUUUCCACUGCCAGAGGUUUACAUAAAAUCAGCUGUUUGGAUGUUGUCUGAGUAAACUAUAUGAAUUAUUUAAAACUUUCAACAACGGAUCU